This 1374-nucleotide long non-coding RNA is filed under the name Callithrix jacchus (white-tufted-ear marmoset). Its description in RNAcentral is "lncRNA (ENSCJAG00000087295.1)". Lineage: Eukaryota; Metazoa; Chordata; Mammalia; Primates; Cebidae. The record is from RNAcentral.
AAAUAUAUUUACCAUACUAUGAUUACUGGUAACCUUUAGGCUUAUUGAAUUACUUGUAAUAUGAUAUCUGUAAUGCCAGGUAUUAUCAUUUAAAAUAAAAUCUCAAGAACCUGAUAUAAGAAAAAUGACAACUGUAAUUACCAUAUAAUAUUUUUUUCCAGAAGUGCAGAGACUCUUUCCUGUAUUUCAUUAGGAUAAAGUUAUCUGAAAUCGUGCCUUUUAUCUGGGGUAUGGAGAAAAGAGAUGGAGUUUCACCAUGUUUCCCAGUCUUUUCUUAAAUUCUUGAGCCCAAGACAUCCUCCUCCUUGGCCUCCCAAAGUGCUAGGAUUACAGAUGUGUGCCACUCUGCCCAGACUCUAUUAGGAAUUUAGACUUUGAGAAAUUAAAUGGCUUAUACUUAUGUCAUACAACCAGUAAUUCCAGGUGCACCAUUCUGUUGUCCUACACCUUUGGAGUGGUUUUGCUUAGAAAGGAUGAAACAAUUCAGCUGUCAUUUUAAUAUAAAAGACUUUUUAGGACACAGGGUGUUUUGAGGUGAUGCCUUGACUUGCAUUAUAAAAAUACUGACAGCUAUCAAAAUGUCAACUUGCAUCUCCUUUGUUGCAGACUUGAUACCAAAGUGUUGGAUAUUUACUUACCAAGAAUGAAAUGGGCUAUAUAUUCUCAGUGCCCCCAAAAAGAAUAUGUGAAUAAAAAUGAAAAAGUGCAAGAGUGAAAUUAUAGGAUUUGUCUGUGCUCUGCUGUCUUAACGGGAGGCAGGAGCAUGGUCCUUAUCUGCUCUCUCAUAUCAAGGGGAUAAAAGAAUCUUGGCUUAUAACUUAAAUUUUAGUGGUUUUAUAUCAGUCGUUGUACUUUUUAGAGUUUCACUUUCUUUAUUAGAACUGAGGUGGACCUCAGGGAUCUGCCAAAGUUCUUUUGGUGUUGUUGUUACUUUGUUUUUGAAAAUCAUAGAAUAAUUCUCUAAUGACAUAUAGCAAUCUUUUGGCAUGGCUUGACCUGUCCAGAUUUUUCCGGCACCCAUCCUAGAAUUUUCAGGUUUUUUUCACAUCUCCUCUUAAUGACACUUUUCUUAGAGAAAGUUUUCCCACAGCCCGCCAAGCUCAGUAAAGUUUCAUUAUUACAUGCUGUCAUAGAAUAGCAUUCUUUACCUGCAUUGCACGUUUAUCAACUUUUCAUUAUGCAUUUAUUUUAGGGUUACUUAAUCAGUACCAGCUUCUCUUAUUUGACUCUAGACGUCACAACAUCUGGAAACUUAUCUUUCUGCUCAUUUUUGUAAUAGUGCCCUGUAUUAUUAGACUAAAUUUAGUUUCUCAGUAAUGUUUAUUAAAUGACAAGAUGAAUAAAUAAUGUUUCUUUUUUUAACUUCUCUGAGCC